GACUGUGAAGCUGGCACGCUAGUGUUGGUGGAGUCGUUGUUGAAAUACCACUCUGGUCGGAUUGGGAAUCUGAACCUCGGACCAUGAUCUGGUUCAGGGACAGUGCCUGAUGGGUAGUUUAACUGGGGCGGUUGCCUCCUAAAGAGUAACGGAGGCGCCCAAAGGUUCCCUCAGCCUGGUUGGCAAUCAGGUGUUGAGUGCAAGUGCACAAGGGAGCUUGACUGUGAGACAGACAUGUCGAGCAGGGACGAAAGUCGGGACUAGUGAUCCGGCACCACCUGGUGGAAGGGGUGUCGCUCAACGGAUAAAAGGUACCCCGGGGAUAACAGGCUGAUCUUGCCCAAGAGUCCAUAUCGACGGCAUGGUUUGGCACC
This 374-nucleotide ribosomal RNA is filed under the name Amycolatopsis sp. BJA-103. RNAcentral describes it as "bacterial LSU rRNA". It matches the Rfam family "Bacterial large subunit ribosomal RNA", at positions 2153 to 2525 of the family's 2925-position model. The record is from RNAcentral. Lineage: Bacteria; Bacillati; Actinomycetota; Actinomycetes; Pseudonocardiales; Pseudonocardiaceae.